This 71-nucleotide transfer RNA is filed under the name Minwuia thermotolerans. It matches the Rfam family "tRNA". Rfam says of the family: Transfer RNA (tRNA) molecules are approximately 80 nucleotides in length. Their secondary structure includes four short double-helical elements and three loops (D, anti-codon, and T loops). The record is from Rfam by way of RNAcentral. Lineage: Bacteria; Pseudomonadati; Pseudomonadota; Alphaproteobacteria; Minwuiales; Minwuiaceae.
GGCGCGGUGGCGGAGUGGUGACGCAACGGACUGCAAAUCCGUGUACACCGGUUCGAUUCCGGUCCGCGCCU